GAAGAAUGAAAAUCAGGAAUAAGCUUCUAACUUCUUUCCUAAGCGGCGCACCACCGUUUAUUCUUCU
This 67-nucleotide transfer RNA is filed under the name Sciobius sp. SCI01. Its description in RNAcentral is "tRNA-Ser". The record is from RNAcentral. Lineage: Eukaryota; Metazoa; Arthropoda; Insecta; Coleoptera; Curculionidae.